UGAAUGAUGAAGGUCUUCGGAUUGUAAAAUUCUGUGGUAAGAGAAGAAAGAUAUAAAGAGGAAAUGCUUUGUAUUUGACGGUAUCUUGCUAGAAAGCCACGGCUAACUACGUGCCAGCAGCCGCGGUAAUACGUAGGUGGCAAGCGUUAUCCGGAAUUACUGGGCGUAAAGAGUGAGCAGGCGGUUAGAUAAGUCUAUGGUUAAAUGCAACAGCUCAACUGUUGUUCGCUAUAGAAACUAUUUAACUAGAGUGCGGGAGAGGUAAGUGGAACUCCAUAUGUAGCGGUGGAAUGCUUAGAUAUAUGGAAGAACACCAGAGGCGAAGGCGGCUUACCAGUCCGUAACUGACGCUCAGUCACGAAAGCGUGGGGAGCAAAUAGGAUUAGAUAUCCUAGUAGUCCACGCCGUAAACGAUGAGAACCUGAUGCAGGAGAUAUUCUGUGUCGAAGCUAACGCGUUAAGUUCUCCGCCUGGGUACUACGUUCGCAAGAAUAAAACUUAAAGGAAUUGACGGGCGCCCGCACAAGCAGUGGAGCAUGGGGUUUAAUUCGUCGAUACACGAAAAACCUUACCAGGGCUUGACAUCCCGCUAAAAGCCUUAGAAAUAAGGAAAUAGUUAUAGCGGUGACAGGUGGUGCAUGGUUGUCGUCAGCUCGUGCCGUGAGGUGUUAGGUUAAGUCCUCAAACGAGCGCAACCCUUGUCUUUAGUUGCCAUUAUUAAUUUAGGAACUCUAGAGAGACUGCCGGCGCAAGCCGGAGGAAGGCGGGGAUGACGUCAAAUCAUCAUGCCCUUUAUGCCCUGGGCCACACCCGUGCUACAAUGGUCGGUACAAAGAGAAGCAACACUGUGAGGUGAAGCAAAUCCCAUAAAGCCGAUCUCAAUUCGGAUUGAAGUCUGCAACUCGACUUCAUGAAGCUGGAAUUGCUAGUAAUCGCAGAUCAGCAACGCUGCGGUGAAUACGUUCUCGGGCGUUGUACACACUGCCCGUCACACCAUGAGAGCCGGUAAUACUCGAAGUCGUUAGCCUAACCGUAAGGAGGGCGGCGCCUAAGGUAGGACUGGUGAUUGGGGUUAAGUCGUAACAAGGUAUCCCUACGAGAACGUGGGGAUG
Molecule: ribosomal RNA, 1112 nt
Filed under: human gut metagenome
Description: bacterial SSU rRNA
Rfam family: Bacterial small subunit ribosomal RNA
Source: RNAcentral